GCACCUGUCGCUUAAUUGGUAAAGCUUCCGGCUUUUAACCGGAAUGAUGUAAGUUCAAAUCUUACCGGGUGUACCA
This 76-nucleotide transfer RNA is filed under the name Gammaproteobacteria bacterium. RNAcentral describes it as "tRNA-Lys". It matches the Rfam family "tRNA". Rfam says of the family: Transfer RNA (tRNA) molecules are approximately 80 nucleotides in length. Their secondary structure includes four short double-helical elements and three loops (D, anti-codon, and T loops). The record is from RNAcentral. Lineage: Bacteria; Pseudomonadati; Pseudomonadota; Gammaproteobacteria.